UUACCUGGUUUGAUCCUGCCAGUAGUCAUAUGCUUGUCUCAAAGAUUAAGCCAUGCAUGUCUAAGUACAGGCCGAAACAAGGCGAAACCGCGAAUGGCUCAUUAAAUCAGUUAUGGUUCAUUGGAUCUUACCUUGUUUUACUUGGAUAACUGUGGUAAUUCUAGAGCUAAUACGUGAUACCCCAGCUCCGACCGCAAGGAAAGAGCGCUUUUAUUAGAUCAAAACCAAUCGGGCUUCGGUCCGUUCUCACUGUGGUGACUCUGAAUAACUUUGAGCUGAGCGCAUGGUCUUCGAACCGGCGCCAUAUCCUUCAAGUGUCUGCCUUAUCAGCUUUCGAUUGUAGGUUAUGCGCCUACAAUGGCUAUAACGGGUAACGGGGAAUCAGGGUUCGAUUCCGGAGAGGGAGCCUGAGAAACGGCUACCACAUCUAAGGAAGGCAGCAGGCACGCAAAUUACCCACUCCCGGCCCGGGGAGGUAGUGACGAAAAAUAACGAUGCGGGACUCUUCCGAGGCCUCGCAAUCGGAAUGAGCACACUUUAAAUCCUUUAACGAGGAUCUAUUGGAGGGCAAGUCUGGUGCCAGCAGCCGCGGUAAUUCCAGCUCCAAUAGCGUAUAUUAAAGUUGCUGCGGUUAAAAAGCUCGUAGUUGGAUCUCAGUUCCGGACCGACGGUUCACCGCCCGGUGCUUACUGUCGGCUUCCGAACAGCCGCACGCCGGCUCGGCCAGGGUGCUCUUCAUCGAGUGUCCUGGUUUCGGCCGGCACGUUUACUUUGAAAAAAUUAGAGUGCUCAGCGCAGGCUGCAACGCCUGAAUAAUCUGUGCAUGGAAUAAUGGAAUAGGACCUCGGUUCUAUUUUGUUGGUUUUCGGAACCCGAGGUAAUGAUUAAUAGGAACUGUCGGGGGCAUUCGUAUUGCGACGUUAGAGGUGAAAUUCUUGGAUCGUCGCAAGACGGACUACUGCGAAAGCAUUUGCCAAGAAUGUUUUCAUUAAUCAAGAACGAAAGUUAGAGGUUCGAAGGCGAUCAGAUACCGCCCUAGUUCUAACCAUAAACGAUGCCAACCAGCCAUCCGCCGGCGUUAUUCCCAUGACUCGGCGGGCAGCUUCCGGGAAACCAAAGUCUCUGGGUUCCGGGGGAAGUAUGGUUGCAAAGCUGAAACUUAAAGGAAUUGACGGAAGGGCACCACCAGGAGUGGAGCCUGCGGCUUAAUUUGACUCAACACGGGGAACCUCACCAGGCCCGGACACCGGAAGGAUUGACAGAUUGAGAGCUCUUUCUCGAUUCGGUGGGUGGUGGUGCAUGGCCGUUCUUAGUUGGUGGAGCGAUUUGUCUGGUUAAUUCCGAUAACGAACGAGACUCA
RNAcentral lists this ribosomal RNA (1360 nucleotides) under Paraiberobathynella cf. fagei ABI-2012. Its description in RNAcentral is "SSU rRNA". It matches the Rfam family "Eukaryotic small subunit ribosomal RNA", at positions 1 to 1344 of the family's 1831-position model. Lineage: Eukaryota; Metazoa; Arthropoda; Malacostraca; Bathynellacea; Parabathynellidae. The record is from RNAcentral.